UUCUAAAAAGGUGAAGGUGGGGCAGUAGAAAAAUAUCUGAAAGGUUGUAGUAAGUGUUAAUUGAGCCAAUGUGUGUAGGUGGCCUAGCCUAGUGCUGAACACUAGGAGGUCUUGAAUUCUAGUCACUUGUCAUUUCGUUUAACAGCUUGCUCCACCUCCUCCUUCUGGCUUCCCCAGCCCCCACUUUACACCCUCCACCAUCAUCUCUCCACCCUCCCUAUAGCAAAGCUGCUCUCCUGCAGAGCUGUCACUUUAUAAAGGAUAUGAUAAAUGCUUCACACCACCGUGAUAAUAGUCUCUUAAAUUUCAAUGGGUUCUACACAUUCUAGAAGACUUUGACUAGAUCUUCAAAACAUUUCUGUGAGGAAGGAAGGGUUCCCUUGUUAAAAAGGAAGAAAUCACUCUUCAGAGGUUGGGUGACCUAUCUAGGGCCACGCAGCUAAUGGAAGGCAGAGGAAGACUAGAAUUCAAGUCAUCUGCUGUCUCCUUCCUAGAAUUACACAAAAGUAGAGACGUUCGAAAUACCAGUCUUAGCGGAAAUGAAGGGCAGUGGCCUAUAUCAGACACCUCUGGCAGCAGGGCUGGACCAGCACCCGACCAGCUGCUGCAUUCUUACACAGCUGGUACUCAGUGGUCACAGUGAAGCCUUGAUGGUGUGACUUUAACUAAAUGAAUAAAGAAGAUGGAGUCACAAGCAAAGUCCAGCACUCAGGACUUGGAAGAAAAAGGAACCUGAAGAGACAAAGACAGAGGCUGGCCCCUGCCCCUCACUUCCCACCUCCCUGCUUUCUGCUGCAAAAGGAAUCUAUGCGGAGUCCCGGGGGCCUGGCAAUAGAGCAAGUGUGUUCUGGAAGGGUAGACCAGCAGAAUGAUGAGUGGCAAGCCGAAUUAAGGGCAGGUCCUGCCAGUCCAGGGAAACAAAUGGGAAAAGUCAGACUGAAGGAAAAGAAGAGUGUUUCUGAAUGGCCCAAUGGACUGGAGCUGACAAACCACGGGAAGUGAUUUAAAAGUGCCUCCAGGUAAAACCAGAGAGAAACUUAACUACUAUCACCAGUUAGCAUAGAAUUUUGACCUUUCAUCUAAAUUAUUUGGAGCAAAUGUACAGGGGAAUUUAAUUUUAGAAAACGGGCAAAGAGAGUCAGAGCUAGACUUCCUCCUCCAACACACACAGCACAGGUGGAGAAGCCCGGGGGGAGCUGAAGUUCCCCAAAUGCUCGGUUGCCAUCACAACGGAAGAGAAUAUAACCUCUUUGUUACCAGGGCAGGCAAUUAUGUGAGUGUUCCUGGAAACCUAAGCCCUUUUGUGAGUUAGAGAUGAUGGAACAAUAACGAAAGAAAGACAAUCCUUUUAUCACCAGAAAAUAAGUGUUAGUUUUCAGACAACACUUCCGCAUCUCGAUGCCUGGGUGAUGUUUUUCAGUGACCAACACAGGACUUAGGAAAAGACGUCGUGUCAUGCUGUUCAAGGUCACUAAGAUCUGGCCUUGCCCCCAGGUGUCAGGGACUAGACUGGAGGAUGGCGUGAGUGUUUACCGCUAGCUACAUUCAAGAUCAGCACUCCAUUUCAUCAGGAAGACUCUCACCCUGGCUAACACGACCCAUUCUCAUUUCUCCCCUCUCCCUCUCCCCUCCCCCUUCUGCCUCUCUCCUCCCUCCCACUCCCCUCCCCCAACACAGUUUUUUCCCAGAUGCUCCAUGGUCCCCCAUGCAAACAGAUUAUUGGCAGGUACAACCCACCAUUCCUUAAGACUCAACUAAAUCCUGAGGCUUAAUGUCUCCCACUUUACUCGCUGAUGAAAGCGUGCACCCAGUUCUGAUGCUCUGACAGCUAUACUGUAUACCUGCACUGACACUAGCCCUCAGCAGUUAUGCAUCUAUAAAAAGAAAGGCUGCCCCAUCCCAUUUUACCCAAGGCCCCUGGCAUCCAGUACCUGAGCCAUUGAAAUUGCUUUGGUUUUGAAUAGAAGUUUGUCAAAAUCUUCAUAAAGGGCUCAUAUGCAAUUCCAUUAUCAAGAGGCAUGUCCAGAAAUGACAAUGGUAAUGAAAAAUAUUGACUAGAGCAGCAAAGCUCAAUUUUUUAGCAGUCAAAAUUACACCUUUUCAUUAAACUGAGGCCCCAGAGAGCAAAAAAAAAAGAUAAUUAAGCAGACUUAUGAUGAAAAGUUACAGAUAACUUCUUCCUGUUCAAGGUAACCAGAAGUGCAGACACUCAGAGAAGGAAGCAUGUUGUGCAGAAGUCUAGGGGAAUGGCCUCCAGGGGCAUUUAAAUUGUCAUCUCUUCCCACAGCAGCUUCUUCCUCCCUAGUCCUCAGAGGCAGUCUCUGAGUCAAUGUCAGUAGCAUGCGACAUCUCUGACCUCCUGGAGAGAUGCAGGGAGCUCAACAGCAACAAAUAGACCCCGUAGAAGAAACUCCAGAAGGCAAUGUCCAGACUCGCACAGCAUACCACUAGCCUUUGCUCAAAAUCCACCAGGGGUUGGCUGUUGCCUACUGUAUCAAGCCCUAACUACUCAGCUUGGCACCCAAGGUCGUCUUCAGACCAGCACAGGCCUGCUUUCCCCAUCUGUGCUCCACUUCUCCCCCUACCCACUCCCAUGCUGGUUAAUCAACUCCUUCCCCACACUGUGCCCCGACCACUUCACCUUUGUUCAUGCUGUGCCCACAAUCACCUUUUCCAACCCUCACUCAUGCCUUGAUUCUCCAUACUCUCAUCACACUGAUGUCUAUAUUUGUUCAAGGUCUGUUACUAUCCUCUCCUUAAUUAGACUGUGCAUUCAUCAAAAAAAGGGAUGGGAAUGUUUACAUUUCUGUAUACCCAUAGUCCCUACCACAAGGCUGGAUUCAUAAUAAGUUUUCAAUAAAUGUCACUGAACAGUUAACUCUCUUCUAGGUAAACAGAGCUGAACGUAAAUGAGCAUAUUUUAUGUCAAAGGUGAAGGGAAAACAAGGGAAAAGAAUUCAUGUUUGAUGAAUUCUAACUAGAAACUACACUGUGCUUCCCACGUUAUCUUAUGAAUUCCUUGCAACGUCUAUGAAAUUGUGCUAUCCCAUUUUACAGAUUAAAAAAAAAAUUCCAGAGACAUUAAGCAACUCUGCCAAGGGUAGGACAAUUUGUAAAUGACAGAGCACAAUUCAUAUUCACCUCAAUCUAACUCCAAAGCAUGUGCUCAUUCCAAGAAUUUUUAUCAUCAUCGUCACCAUAGCCAUUCUCAUCUGCAGUAGCACUGAGCCAUUUAACUACAGAGAGACCUUUAAUGGGUGCUCUCUGCAUCUUUUCAGGCUACAGACCUUAGGUAGACAAUAGAAGACAGGAACCUAUCCGUGACAAGGAAAAAUUUUUACACUUCCCUUGACCACUUUCCAGAAGAGUCCACCAAACAAGCAAGGAGCAUAUGUCCCAAAAGGCCCCCACCCACAUAUUGAUUCUUCUCCCAUCUUUGACCAAUUCACUGACUGGAGCAAUGGUGAAGACUUGGGUCAUCUGAAUACACAAAAAACUCAAAG
Molecule: long non-coding RNA, 3503 nt
Filed under: Equus caballus (horse)
Lineage: Eukaryota; Metazoa; Chordata; Mammalia; Perissodactyla; Equidae
Description: lncRNA (ENSECAG00000049550.1)
Source: RNAcentral